AGAGCGGAGCGUCUCGCUGAGUACGGAGGGUCAAACUGUGGCUAACACUGCAGCUACUACAGGUAUGUCGUGGGACUUUUUGGUGCCCGUGUACGUGGGCGACCUGGUGAAGACCGGAGGGAUCAACCAGUACGUGGUUCAGGAUGUGGUUUCCCCAAAACAGCUGCCAUCCUGCCUCAGCAGGUUCAAGGCAGCACUGAGGAGCCAGGGCCCUUUGUGUAUCCUGGAACACUUUGACACCGGCUACAGCGUCCUGCAG
Stegastes partitus (bicolor damselfish) is the source of this 259-nucleotide long non-coding RNA. RefSeq lists it as uncharacterized. The transcript is spliced from 3 exons. Lineage: Eukaryota; Metazoa; Chordata; Actinopteri; Pomacentridae. The record is from RefSeq and is a predicted model, not a curated record.